This is a small nuclear RNA of Pygocentrus nattereri (red-bellied piranha), 215 nucleotides long. Its record names the gene U2. It matches the Rfam family "U2 spliceosomal RNA". Rfam says of the family: U2 is a small nuclear RNA (snRNA) component of the spliceosome (involved in pre-mRNA splicing). NCBI's taxonomy places the organism in Eukaryota, Metazoa, Chordata, Actinopteri, Characiformes, Serrasalmidae. The record is from Ensembl.
AUCGCUUCUCGGCCUUUUGGCUAAGAUCAAGUGUAGUAUCUGUUCUUAUCAGUUCAUGGAGCAUGACGUCAUCCGGUGGGGGUAUCAUGCAGCGAAGGAAAGGUGGAGGGACCUUUUUGAGCUGUAAGACCCCCUAGACAGAGUUUUUUGACGCGGCUCCAUCCAGGGGUUCCGUGAACCCCUUUUUUGAAUUUUAAUAUUUUAUGGUAAUUUCU